RNAcentral lists this ribosomal RNA (410 nucleotides) under Bacteroidales bacterium. RNAcentral describes it as "bacterial SSU rRNA". It matches the Rfam family "Bacterial small subunit ribosomal RNA", at positions 1 to 402 of the family's 1533-position model. The record is from RNAcentral. Lineage: Bacteria; Pseudomonadati; Bacteroidota; Bacteroidia; Bacteroidales.
UUAUACAAUGGAGAGUUUGAUCCUGGCUCAGGAUGAACGCUGGCGGCAGGCUUAAUACAUGCAAGUUGAACGGUAACAUGUUGUAGCAAUACGAUGAUGACGAGUGGCGCACGGGUGCGUAACACGUGUGUAACCUACCUUAUACAGGAACAUAACGUUGAGAAAUCGGCGCUAAUAUUCCAUAAUAUUAUUUAUAGGCAUCUAUAGAUAAUUAAAACCCCGGUGGUAUAAGAUGGGCACGCGUUCCAUUAGCUAGUUGGUAAGGUAACGGCUUACCAAGGCCACGAUGGAUAGGGGUUCUGAGAGGAUACACCCCCACACUGGAACUGAGACACGGUCCAGACUCCUACGGGAGGCAGCAGUAAGGAAUAUUGGGCAAUGGAGGCAACUCUGACCCAGCCAUGCCGCGU